AACGAGACCUUAACCUGCUAAAUAGCCAGGCUAGCUUUGGCUGGUCGCCGGCUUCUUAGAGGGACUAUCGGCUCAAGCCGAUGGAAGUUUGAGGCAAUAACAGGUUAACCUUUAUCACACGCCUGUAAAAGCG
RNAcentral lists this ribosomal RNA (133 nucleotides) under Clarireedia homoeocarpa. Its description in RNAcentral is "partial small subunit ribosomal RNA". The stretch from base 1 to 105 matches the Rfam family "Eukaryotic small subunit ribosomal RNA", at positions 1334 to 1461 of the family's 1831-position model. Lineage: Eukaryota; Fungi; Ascomycota; Leotiomycetes; Helotiales; Rutstroemiaceae. The record is from RNAcentral.